This 253-nucleotide ribosomal RNA is filed under the name uncultured bacterium. RNAcentral's name for it is "partial 16S ribosomal RNA". It matches the Rfam family "Bacterial small subunit ribosomal RNA", at positions 524 to 776 of the family's 1533-position model. The record is from RNAcentral.
UACGUAGGGGGCAAGCGUUAUCCGGAUUUACUGGGUGUAAAGGGAGCGUAGACGGCAUAGCAAGUCUGAAGUGAAAGCCCAAGGCUCAACCAUGGGACUGCUUUGGAAACUGUUAAGCUAGAGUGCUGGAGAGGUAAGCGGAAUUCCUAGUGUAGCGGUGAAAUGCGUAGAUAUUAGGAGGAACACCAGUGGCGAAGGCGGCUUACUGGACAGUAACUGACGUUGAGGCUCGAAAGCGUGGGGAGCAAGCAGG